RNAcentral lists this ribosomal RNA (145 nucleotides) under Talaromyces pinophilus. RNAcentral describes it as "5.8S ribosomal RNA". It matches the Rfam family "5.8S ribosomal RNA". From Rfam's summary of the family: 5.8S ribosomal RNA (5.8S rRNA) is a component of the large subunit of the eukaryotic ribosome. Lineage: Eukaryota; Fungi; Ascomycota; Eurotiomycetes; Eurotiales; Trichocomaceae. The record is from RNAcentral.
AAACUUCAACAAUGAUCUCUUGGUUCCGCAUCGAUGAGAACGCAGCGAAUGCGAUAAGUAUGUGAAUGCAGAUCCGUGGAUCAUCGAUCUUGAACGCACAUUGCGCCCCUUGCAUUCCGGGGGCAUGCCUGUCCGAGCGUCAUUU